Molecule: ribosomal RNA, 484 nt
Filed under: uncultured bacterium
Lineage: Bacteria
Description: partial 16S ribosomal RNA
Rfam family: Bacterial small subunit ribosomal RNA
Source: RNAcentral
AUUGAACGCUGGCGGCAGGCCUAACACAUGCAAGUCGAGCGGAUGAAGGUAGCUUGCUCCUGGAUUCAGCGGCGGACGGGUGAGUAAUGCCUAGGAAUCUGCCUGGUAGUGGGGGAUAACGUCCGGAAACGGGCGCUAAUACCGCAUACGUCCUGAGGGAGAAAGUGGGGGAUCUUCGGACCUCACGCUAUCAGAUGAGCCUAGGUCGGAUUAGCUAGUUGGUGGGGUAAAGGCCUACCAAGGCGACGAUCCGUAACUGGUCUGAGAGGAUGAUCAGUCACACUGGAACUGAGACACGGUCCAGACUCCUACGGGAGGCAGAAGUGGGGAAUAUUGGACAAUGGGCGAAAGCCUGAUCCAGCCAUGCCGCGUGUGUGAAGAAGGUCUUCGGAUUGUAAAGCACUUUAAGUUGGGAGGAAGGGCAGUAAGUUAAUACCUUGCUGUUUUGACGUUACCAACAGAAUAAGCACCGGCUAACUUCGUG